GUACGUUGAUUUAUUUUGAU
This 20-nucleotide microRNA is filed under the name Schistosoma mansoni. Its description in RNAcentral is "sma-miR-8404-5p". Lineage: Eukaryota; Metazoa; Platyhelminthes; Trematoda; Strigeidida; Schistosomatidae. The record is from miRBase by way of RNAcentral.